This 492-nucleotide ribosomal RNA is filed under the name uncultured bacterium. RNAcentral describes it as "partial 16S ribosomal RNA". It matches the Rfam family "Bacterial small subunit ribosomal RNA", at positions 30 to 507 of the family's 1533-position model. The record is from RNAcentral.
AUUGAACGCUGGCGGCAUGCUUUACACAUGCAAGUCGAACGGUAACAGGCCUUCGGGUGCUGACGAGUGGCGAACGGGUGAGUAAUGCAUCGGAACGUGCCCAGAGGUGGGGGAUAACGCAGCGAAAGCUGUGCUAAUACCGCAUGUGAUCUGAGGAUGAAAGCGGGGGACCAGGCAGGAAUGUUUGGCCUCGCGCCUUUGGAGCGGCCGAUGUCAGAUUAGGUAGUUGGUGGGGUAAAGGCCUACCAAGCCGACGAUCCGUAGCUGGUCUGAGAGGACGAUCAGCCACACUGGGACUGAGACACGGCCCAGACUCCUACGGGAGGCAGCAGUGGGGAAUUUUGGACAAUGGGCGCAAGCCUGAUCCAGCAAUGCCGCGUGCGGGAAGAAGGCCUUCGGGUUGUAAACCGCUUUUGUACGGAACGAAAAGGCUCUGGCUAAUACCUGGGGCUGAUGACGGUACCGUAAGAAUAAGCACCGGCUAACUACGUG